RNAcentral lists this ribosomal RNA (374 nucleotides) under uncultured organism. Its description in RNAcentral is "partial 16S ribosomal RNA". It matches the Rfam family "Bacterial small subunit ribosomal RNA", at positions 527 to 896 of the family's 1533-position model. The record is from RNAcentral.
GUAGGUGGCAAGCGUUGUCCGGAAUUAUUGGGCGUAAAGCGCGCGCAGGUGGUUCUUUAAGUCUGAUGUGAAAGCCCCCGGCUCAACCGGGGAGGGUCAUUGGAAACUGGGGAACUUGAGUGCAGGAGAGGAAAGUGGAAUUCCACGUGUAGCGGUGAAAUGCGUAGAUAUGUGGAGGAACACCAGUGGCGAAGGCGACUUACUGGCCUGUAACUGACACUGAGGCGCGAAAGCGUGGGGAGCAAACAGGGAUUAGAUACCCUGGUAGUCCACGCCGUAAACGAUGAGUGCUAAGUGUUGGGGGGGUUUCCCGCCCCUCAGUGCUGCAGCUAACGCAUUAAGCACUCCGCCUGGGGAGUACGGUCGCAAGACUG